RNAcentral lists this ribosomal RNA (495 nucleotides) under uncultured bacterium. RNAcentral describes it as "partial 16S ribosomal RNA". It matches the Rfam family "Bacterial small subunit ribosomal RNA", at positions 28 to 507 of the family's 1533-position model. The record is from RNAcentral.
GACGAACGCUGGCGGCGUGCCUAAUACAUGCAAGUAGAACGCUGAAGGAGGAGCUUGCUCUUCUGGAUGAGUUGCGAACGGGCGAGUAACGCGUAGGUAACCUGCCUGGUAGCGGGGGAUAACUAUUGGAAACGAUAGCUAAUACCGCAUAACAGUAGAUGUUGCAUGACAUUUACUUAAAAGGUGCAAUUGCAUCACCACCAGAUGGACCUGCGUUGUAUUAGCUAGUUGGUGGGGUAACGGCUCACCAAGGCGACGAUACAUAGCCGACCUGAGAGGGUGAUCGGCCACACUGGGACUGAGACACGGCCCAGACUCCUACGGGAGGCAGCAGUAGGGAAUCUUCGGCAAUGGACGGAAGUCUGACCGAGCAACGCCGCGUGAGUGAAGAAGGUUUUCGGAUCGUAAAGCUCUGUUGUAAGAGAAGAACGAGUGUGAGAGUGGAAAGUUCACACUGUGACGGUAGCUUACCAGAAAGGGACGGCUAACUACGUG